Molecule: long non-coding RNA, 4587 nt
Organism: Neoarius graeffei (lesser salmon catfish)
Lineage: Eukaryota; Metazoa; Chordata; Actinopteri; Siluriformes; Ariidae
Exons: 4
Source: RefSeq, a predicted model, not a curated record
CAAAUUCUCUUGACUAUACAUAUAUGUAGUAUAUUUGUAAAUAUGACAAAUGAUUUACAAAUCUCACAAAAGUCAGUUACACAAAUUUAAUUCUAUGUAUGUAGACUUAGCAUGUCUAUUUGAAGCGUUUGAAUAACUGGUCAAUUUCUUUCACCGCACCAGACGGAACUACAUAUUGUCUACCAGUUGAUGUGAUUGGUGCAUCUAUGAUCUUUAUGAUGUGUAUCAGUGGAACCCAACAGAUAUCUUCUCUUCUGGGCCAACUGUAAGACUUUGCAGGACCAUGAGGGUGCAUAAAUUGUACUUGCCCACCUGUUCCUCCUCCGAUAUUGCACAGAUAUUACCAAUCCACCAUUGCUGGUCAUACAAACAUGCAACAUAUUUUCCUGGGAUCAUGUCUGACAGGGUGUAACCUCCUUUCACAGCAUCAUCUACAACCUGGGGAUGAGUGCCACUCAUGUCCACAAUGAAGCUUGGUCCACCAGACACUCUGCUGAUCUGCAACUGGCUCUCUGAGAUAGGAACAAAUGAGUGGUUGUCCCUUGUUCCUGGUAUUGUUGAGGACUUUGAAAGUCUCUUCUGAAGAACUUUUCCAUUGCUUGUUACUUCCCCCUUUUCAAUCCAAAUGAAAUGGAUGUUUAUGUUUUUUUUCUGCCCACACAGAGAUCUCGUGGUGUCAGUAUGUGUUGUGAAGUAACUGCCUGUAAGCUGGCUCUAGCUGCAGAACGCUUCACGGUGCCACCUAUCCUGUCACAAGGUGAUUUUCCAUAGGGAGUAACAAAAAAGUGCCAUUCAGCUGUCAUACCCAAGUCUUCCUGGUGAUGCAACAGAUUUGUACAGUUUUUGUGGUUUUUGUACUGGGCAGCUGAUCCAUCACUAAAGUAUACAAGUUUAGAAAUUUGGGGACUGAGUUGUUGAAUGUAUGGAAUCACUGCUUUUAGGAAUGUGUGAAUGGCUACAGUAUCAUGCUUCAGGCAGUCACUUAUGACACGUAGAUAUGAAUGUUGUUUCAUAUGUCCCAUCAUCUCUGCUCUUCAUGUAAACAGCAAAUGGAUGAAGGGUGCACUGGCUGUUGUUCCAGUGGUACCCCUGCGCUGCAUCCUGUACCAAGAAAGAGUAGUUCUCAGCGAAAUCCAAAAGUACAAUGAUGUAGCAUGUGAUGUAACCUUGUGAAUGGCAUUUUCGCAUGUCGUAAAACCUUCUAUAUUCAACAGCUUGAAUGAAAGUUUUCUUCACAGCAGGGUCAUUCCAUGCCAAAUCAACAAGAGGUUAUGCUCAACCAUCUCAGAUUUCAAUGAAAUUUGGAGGGCUCAGAGAUGCUAUUAAAAGAAGUUAAUCCCCAAAACUUGAGCUUCCUAUCUCCAACGGUUUCAGAGAUACAGGCAAAUUCGAAUUUUUUAUAUUUUUUCAUAUAACUGAUAUUUGAGGGUUAAUAAAUGCUUCAAUAAGGCUCAAGUAGGUUAGGAGACAUGUUUCUUCCUCAAUUUUAAAUAAAAUUUCAAUUAAUGCUCAGUAUUAUUUGUAAAUUGAUUUUAAUCUAAGACUUUGUAACAUUAGCAAUCAAUGACCAGCUAUUGUGUACCAGUCAACAGCCAGCCUUAUCAAUAUCAACACAGCACAAUAGGUGACCUUUGAUACCAGAACAGGUGGCUCAUAUCUUAUAGUUUUAGAGUCUGUAAACUGCAUACUUGUUCAGAUAACAUUAUAUUGCUUGGAUUAUAUUAAAUACAUUGUAAUACAGAGCACUGAGAAAAAUUACCAAUGAUAACUGAAUGUGUUUCUUUGCAAGGAUUGGAUAUUUUGAAUAGUUGACUAGGGAAAUUAAUUGUAGUUGCUUUCAAUUUGAGGUCAGUAUAAAUGAGUUUGUUCUUAGACAUCUAGAAAUGGCUGAACUUCCUCCCUGUUCUAUAGGAAUUGGACUAAAGAAAGAUUCUGACUGCCAUAAACUAACAUACAACAGAAAUUCUUAAAUACACUCUCUCAGUUUGGAGCAAAUACAUUAUUAUGAUCCAGAAUUGUGUUAAAGUCUCCUCCGAUUACGAUACCAGUGUUUGGAAACUUAUUCAGAGUAUAUUCAGUGUGAGUCUCUCGCACUUCAAGCAACUUAUUAUUCUCAGAUUUUGAGUUUUAGCCAAAAUAUUCACAAUUAAAAAAGUAAACCUUUCAAUGCGAAUAACCUGGUAAAGAAAAUGUCCUGCUGUGUCACAGUCUGUAGAAUACUACCAGAGAAAGUAUAUUUUAGCGUGUCAACCCCAGCAGUGUGUUCAGGUCCAUGAGCCAGCCAGAGAUCGUUACCCCACUGGGCCCUCCAUAAUCUUACAUCACUGGAAACUGAGUGUGACUUGAAUAAAACAAGUCAGUUUUAUGCUGUUUUGAGACAAAAAAAAAUUGCAUUAUGCUUUGCAAUAUUUCUUAACUCCCUGGCAUUGAGAGUAAUAUCAGACAAGAACGUAUUAACAACAACAAUAAUAAAAUGAGAAUAGAAUAAGUUCAGAAGAAAACAGAAUACGGGAACCCACUGUCAAGGGCUGCACCAUUCAAAUUUUUAUGAAGUAUCUUUGUUAAACAUAAAUUAACCACAGUUCCUUAAGUUUUCUAUUGCAAAUCCAACCUGCAUCAGGUAUUAAUCACUCAAAACAAUUAACCAAAGUCAGUGACAUUGAACUGAGGCUUUGUGUAAGAAGAAAAUAAAAAAUAAAACCCCCAGCUCUAUCAACAUAAAUUCACCUGAGCAGUUUGUGCUGAUCAGACUUACCGGGUGGUGACCCAUGCUAUGAAAGAAACAAACUCAACAGUAUAUUAACUAUUUAAAGCAUCAUGGUCAGUGAGACUUAUACAGUCAUGGUAGAUGUUCAUCAGGCCUCAGGUAGCUGGAGUCAGUUCAGUCCCGUUGACAAAGGCCCAACCACCAAUGAAGUAUGCCGUUUCCCUUCUUGGUGUCUCUUGGCCACCAAGGGCCAGAGCUGCCAUCGUCUCUCUCUCUGGCAGUCUGGGACAGGUCCUCAGCAAAACAGUUUGUUGUUUUGGAGGAGAGAUUUUUUUUUUCCUGUUUUCCAGACUGCAUGUGUGAGGUGAACUGGAGGAUAAUCGCUCGAGGUUUGGAGUCGUCUUUCCAUUGGCUGACCGAGCCGAUGUACUGUGUUGAUAACCUCAGGAAACUUGGCCUGGUACUCAGCUUACACACAAGAGGAAAUAUUCACCUAUGUGGAACAUUUUGAAAUGGUUCCUCCCAAUGAGGUGAAGUGCUUGCUGUGCCAGAAGGAACGAGUGGAGAACAAGAAUAUAUCAUCAGUGCUGAGGCAUUAUAGAGCUUUUCAUGAGAAUCAGCAGCCUGCCAACAGACCAGACACAAGCGACAAUUCCAGAAAAACAAAUGAUGGAUGAGGCCUUGGUUAAUAUGAUAAUUCCAGACACCCAGCCAUUGUCAGUGGUGGAAGAUGUGGGUUUGAUGGAGCUCAUGCACAUACUGGAACCCACUGAUCUUCUCCCUACUAGGAGGAUGUCAGAAUGUAGUGACAGUCAGCCUCACCUCUGAUAUCUGGACAUCCAUGAAUAUGGAGACUUACCUUCCAGUAACCUGCCACUUCAUUGAUGACAAUGACAGACUUGGAACAAUUUUGCUUGGAGCAGAACAUUUUCCAAGUCGUCACACAGCAGAAAAUAUGGCUCUGGCAAAAGCAAAAUUGAUGGAGGAGUGGGACAUAAAAGAAAAGGUGAAGUGUCUCCUCACUGAUGCUGCACCAAAUAUGACAAGCUUGUGCCAAGGCAUUGUCUGUGAGACAUUCUGUUUGCAUCACACACACUUAAUAAUAGUGCAAAAGUCAUUUGACCAUGUCCCAGCCCUUAAAGGUGGAGUAUGAGAUUUUUUUCAGGAGUAUUUUUUUUACCAUAUUGCUUGAAAAGCUCCUCACACCCAUGUUGCAAGCAGUACAAUAGAAGGUUUGACCCAAAAACGAAAUAUUUUAAUCCAGUCUACAGUGUAAAAUAAAGGAAAAAUGCCAUCCAAUCAUAUCGAGGUACCACCUCAAAAUGAUUGGAUACUGACACGUAAAUCAGACUGAAGCCCGAGCAGCCCGGCCCUUCUGUGUGUGUGUGUGUGUGUGUGUGUGUGUGUGUGUGAGAGAGAGAGCGAGCAGUGUCCCACAAAAAGCACAGGAUUCUCUCAGUGCGCUUCCUCCAAACAACGGGGAUUUACACGAAAACGGAAGGAGAUAUUCACAAAAUUCUUUCACAGUGAGUGCCACAAGGCUUUCCUGAACACACUGAUGUAAUUUUUUUUGUCUGUAGUGUAAAAAAUGAGGUCACUAGAGCGAGUUAAAAACGAGUGACUUUUCCGGCAAGUUUUAUAAUGGAAGUCUAUGAGCUGGGGCUGUGCUCUCCUCACUUUCAGGCUUCUCAUUCAAAAACUGCAAGUCCUAUCGUGUAGGUAGACACAUUGUGUGAAUCAGGACAAGUGUGGCUACUACUUUUGAGAAAAUUGUGUGUGGAGUGAAAAUUGGGGCUGAAAACACAGUUUAAAUGAGAAAGUUUGGGCUAUUUUUCCAAGCUCUCUACACUCUGCUCUAAGGGGGAGGAGGGGUGGAGACG